This 253-nucleotide ribosomal RNA is filed under the name uncultured bacterium. RNAcentral's name for it is "partial 16S ribosomal RNA". It matches the Rfam family "Bacterial small subunit ribosomal RNA", at positions 524 to 776 of the family's 1533-position model. The record is from RNAcentral.
UACGUAGGGACCGAGCGUUGUCCGGAAUCAUUGGGCGUAAAGAGCGUGUAGGCGGCUAUUUAAGUCCUGCGUGAAAUCCUGCGGCUCAACCGCAGACGGUCGUGGGAAACUGGAUGGCUAGAGUGCGGGAGAGGAGACUGGAAUUCCUGGUGUAGCGGUGAAAUGCGCAGAUAUCAGGAGGAACACCGGUGGCGAAGGCGGGUCUCUGGGCCGAUACUGACGCUGAGGAGCGAAAGCGUGGGGAGCGAACAGG